AGUGAGGAAUAUUGGUCAAUGGACGCAAGUCUGAACCAGCCAUGCCGCGUGCAGGAUGACGGCCCUACGGGUUGUAAACUGCUUUUAUACGGGAAUAAUGUGUCCUACGUGUAGGAUUUUGAAGGUACCGUACGAAUAAGGAUCGGCUAACUCCGAGCCAGCAGCCGCGGUAAUACGGAGGAUCCAAGCGUUAUCCGGAUUCAUUGGGUUUAAAGGGUCCGUAGGCGGGUCUUUAAGUCAGAGGUGAAAGCCUGCAGCUCAACUGUGGAACUGCCUUUGAUACUGGAGAUCUUGAGUGUGCGUGAAGUAGGCGGAAUAAGUCAUGUAGCGGUGAAAUGCAUAGAUAUGACUUAGAACACCGAUUGCGAAGGCAGCUUACUAAAGCACUACUGACGCUGAGGGACGAAAGCGUGGGGAGCGAACAGGAUUAGAUACCCUGGUAGUCCACGCCGUAAACGAUGAUAACACGCUGUUGGCGAUACACGGUCAGCGGCCAAGCGAAAGCGUUAAGUUAUCCACCUGGGGAGUACGCCGGCAACGGUGAAACUCAAAGGAAUUGACGG
RNAcentral lists this ribosomal RNA (563 nucleotides) under uncultured bacterium. RNAcentral's name for it is "bacterial SSU rRNA". It matches the Rfam family "Bacterial small subunit ribosomal RNA", at positions 353 to 916 of the family's 1533-position model. The record is from RNAcentral.